RNAcentral lists this non-coding RNA (100 nucleotides) under Hathewaya proteolytica. RNAcentral's name for it is "Clostridium proteolyticum Guanine sequence". It matches the Rfam family "Purine riboswitch aptamer". From Rfam's summary of the family: Riboswitches are metabolite binding domains within certain messenger RNAs that serve as precision sensors for their corresponding targets. Allosteric rearrangement of mRNA structure is mediated by ligand binding, and this results in modulation of gene expression. A class of riboswitches that selectively recognises guanine and becomes saturated at concentrations as low as 5 nM. The record is from RNAcentral. RNAcentral also lists the same sequence under 1 other name. Lineage: Bacteria; Bacillati; Bacillota; Clostridia; Eubacteriales; Clostridiaceae.
AAAUUUAAUUAAAAUCUUGCUUGUAUAAUACUGAUAAUAAGGUUCAGUAGUAUCUACCGAAUACCGUAAAUAUUCGACUAUGGGCGUGAAAUAAUAUCAC